Molecule: long non-coding RNA, 4874 nt
Filed under: Homo sapiens (human)
Lineage: Eukaryota; Metazoa; Chordata; Mammalia; Primates; Hominidae
Description: HSALNT0154789
Source: RNAcentral
CACUCGGGUCCCCUUCCACACUGUGGAAGCUUUGUUCUUUUGCUGUUUGCAAUAAAUCCUGCUACUGCUCACUCUUUGGGUCCACGCUGCUUUUAUGAGCUGUAACACUCACAGCGAAGAUCUGCAGCUUCAUUCCUGAGCCCAGCGAGACCACGAGCCCACCGGGAGGAACGAACAACUCCAGACGCGUUGCCUUAAGAGCUGUAACACUCACCGCGAAGGUCUGCAGCUUCACUCCUGAGCCAGUGAGACCAGGAACCCACCAGAAGGAAGAAACUCCGAACACAUCUGAACAUCAGAAGGAACAAACUCCAGACGCGCCACCUUAAGAGCUGUAACACUCACCGCGAGGGUCCGCGGCUUCACUCUUGAAGUCAGUGAGACUAAGAACCCACCAAUUCCGGACACACUGGGUUCAUAGGGGGAGCUUAGGAAAUGGAGGGACCAGUGUUUAGAAAGCGCCUUCUCAGUCAAGAUUGAGGAUGGUGUCCUCUUCCCAGCCCUGAUGUGGCCACCAUGGUGGCACUGCAUGGCAGUGGCCUGUUUUCCCCACCAGACUGGGUGCUCCAUGAAGACUAAAGCCAAGUGUGUCUUUUUGUUCAGCUCAGGCAUAGUCCAUGACAGCGUUCUGAUAAUUACAUAUUGGCUGCAUGUUUGCAUAGCCAUGAGGUCUGUGGGGUGCCUUUCAGCUCUACAAGCCUCUUCUCUAAGGAGUUGCCCUUGGCUGGUCAAGAAGCUCAGGUGUGGGAAGUGGGUUUUACGUGGCAGUCCUGCUGGGCCCCUGCCAGAGUGCUUGGAGCCGCUAAGUCUGGGCCAUGCAGUCUGUUUACAUGAGCAUUAGGGAACAUUGCUGAGAUGUACUGUAAACAUGGGGCAGGCUGUCAGCAUUGUGCUGGUUUCUGCAUUAUCUCGGUGCCAUCUCAGAACAGAGGCAGGCCAGAAAGCCCCUGCCAAGUGGAACUGGAGCCUGAGAGAUAGGCACGAGCCUCCUAAGUCUGGCUUCCCUGCAGGGACGAGCCUUCCUGAGGGUGGGUUGGAUGUGGGUUCAUACAGCAGGGAUGCUGAGCCAAGCUCCCACUCCACUUAGGGGCUUGGACCAGGGAACAGAAGGAACUAUUGACCUCAUCCUGUUCUCCAGGCUGCAAGUGAGAAAUGGGGUUCUUAGACUGGAAGAAGCCUCAGUGUGGGUAGAGGCAGCUGGGGCCUGAGGCAUGAGCCCCCAGAGGAAAACACAGGAAGCAGGUGGCCAAUCUUGUUCCAGAAGGGCUCUCACCAGGACUGCCCCAGAGUCCACACCAGAUUAUGAAAUAUGCCUUGUGAUUUUGCAUGAACAUCUUUGGCUGAAGAUUGACAAAUGUUGGAGGAAACUGCAACCUUUUUUUUUUUUUUUUUACCAUUAGUUAUUUUAUUGAGCAAUUACAAGUCCCAGGCUCUUACUUUUUCAUAUUAAUUUUUUACAACAAGUUUAUGAGAUGCACACUGUUCUCAUUUAUCAUAUAAGGAAACUAAAACUAAAAGAGUUUAAUAUAUUGCUCAAGGUUAUCCAGUGUAUUGGUUUGCUAGGGCCCUGUAACAAAGUACCUACAAACCGGGUGGCUCAAACAACAGAAAUGCAUUGGGAAACUGCAACCUCUUAUCAGUUAAUUUUCCGAGGCAAACAGUAACCUGGACUGAUUGUGAUUUCCAUGAGUUUCUCUUCUUGGUUUUUUUCCUUCUUGGUAUUGGUGGCUCAGAUGCAAGGCCCUGUGGUUCAAUAGGAAGAGCAGGAGCUUUAUAUUGGAAAACCUGCACUCUGGCUGGCUGUGUGCUGUCUGUGCCUCAGUUUCUUCAUCUGUAAAAUAGGAAUAAGAAUAUUACCCACCUUAGAUAAUUAGAGGGAGUAUUAGAACUCCUUGAAUACUACUAGGCACACAGUAAGUACUGAAGAAAUGUUAACUAAUUAUUAAUCUCACUAUUUAUUAGAAAAUGGAGAUUAAAGUACCUGUCUCACAGGUUUUUGUGAGAGUCAAAUCCAUUCAUUCAUUUGUUCAACAAAUACAUACUGAGCACCCCUAUGUGACAAGUAGUAUACGAGGCACAGGGCUGCUAUGUUAAAAACAAAAUGAGAUCAUUCUGUACUCCCCAGAACUAACAGACUGGUGGGGGAAGAGAUAUAUUAAGUGAUGCAUAAAAACACAGGCAUAAAUGUGCAAAUUUGUUGUAACAAUGCUUUGAAGGAAAAAGGUGGUGUGCUAUUGAGAGAAUAAGAGGGGAGGCUGCCUUAGGUGGUGAUGUGGUUUGGCUCUGUCUCCCCACCCAAAUCUCACCUUGAAUUGUAGUAAUCUCCAUGUAUGGUGGGAAGGACCUGGUGGGAGGUAAUUGAAUCAUGGUGGUGGGUCUUUCCCAUGCUGUUCUUGUGAGAGUGAAUAAAUCUCACAAGAUGUGAUGGUUUUAUAAAGGGGAGUUCCCCUGCACAUGCUCUUGGCUGCCACCAUGUAAUAUGUCCCUUUGCUCUUCCUUCGUCUUCCACCAUGAUUGUGAGGCCUCCCCAGCCACGUGGAAUUGUAAGUCCUUUAAAGCUCUUUCAUUUAUAAAUGACCCAGUCUCAGGUAUGUCUUCAUGAGCAGCAUGAGAAUGAACUAAUACAAGUAGGGUGGCCACAGAAGACUUCCCUGAAGAGGCAGGUGUUGAGCUCACCUAUGAAGGAUGGGUAGGAGUUAAAUAUUCCAGGUAAAGGCAAAACACACCUAAAGGUCUUACCUUAAGGGGAAAAAGGGUGAGGUGAAUUUGAGCCUAUGAAUGAGGUGACAGGGUUAGCAGAAAAUAGACAGGACAGAGGAUGAGUUCUAUUCUGAGUAUAAACCACAAAAGCAAUGGAGGAGGUAAAUGCUUUUAUAAAGUGUAAAAUCCACAUGUCUAUAACUUACUAUAUUUUCCAGCAUAAAAAGCUAGGAGUUGAAGUUUCACAUGGAGGCCAGGUGAGGAGUGAUUUCACCUCCAUGGCCUUUGCAGUUUGCACUCAGGAUAAAACAAUUGCCUAAAAACUACACAUGUUAUGGCAGAAAGUGUGUGUGUCAGUGUGUCUGUGUAAUCCGAAUUCCCAAAGUGCAUAACCCUUUCCUCGAAUCUCAUCAUCUGAAUGCAUCAGCUCUUUGAGCCCCAGUUUCCUCCUUUGUAAUCAUGGGGCCAUUUCUUCUUCUUUACUAAUGUGGCUGUUUUCUCAUAAGGUUGUUCUGAGAAAAACUCCAGUAAAUGUUGAUUCCCUAUGCCUCUUCUUUUCUCUGUGGCUUAAGCUUCACUGUCUGGUGCUUCUGAUGACAGUCUGCAUUUGAGAGAAGGCAUUAAACAUUCACAGCUGGCUUUUCAUCAAAAUGUGUCCUGCCCACCACACAAUCUUGGAGAACCCAUUGGCAUCUGACCACUCUAGAGAUUGCCCCUUUCUUAAAGGAGCCCCCUGGCCUCCCCUACCCAGUACUAAAAUCCAUCCAAUUCACACACCAUUGCUGUGGAAGUUAGUCCUUCUUUUAAUUCUGAUCAAGUGAGCAAAAGGGGAAAUAAGGAGGGAUCCAUCAGAACAGCUCAUGAAAAAUAUGUACGUUCUUUAAAGGAAGACAGCAUACAAAUGGGAUAUAUUUUUUUUUCCAAAAGGGAGGGGGAAAUACACGCAGGCUUUUAAACAGAAGACUUUAAGCGGGGAGUGAGAGAGGAAAAAUAUGUCUCUUAAAUGCAUUCAGCGCCAUUGCCACAAGGCUGCCGAGCCAGGAUUGUUUAUUAGAAGAUAAGAUAGUGAAAAAUGUAUUUUGCAGAAAGAAAAUAGUAAAGUCAGGUCUGAGGCAGAUAAGAAGCCAAAUUUCUAUUUUAUGCUCAAUUGAGUGACUCAGUUACAUUAUCUGGGAAGCAGGGGUGAAAUAACACCCUUCGGAAAUGAGGCCUGGGUUGCUCUGGGUCUCCUUCCAGCCUUGGCCAAGCUGAACUCUGCACAGCUGGGAUGCUGCCUUCUCAGAGCAGAGUAUUUGCCAUCUAGGGAUGAGGGGAAGAAAGGUUCUGAUCUUUUCUCUUCAGCUCCUUUUUUUCUCCAUCUUUUCAUAUGAGCACUCCAGUUCAGCUUCAUGCUUCCCCUUCUGCUGCUGAAGGUGAGAAAAUAAAAGCACACACAUGCAUACAAGAUGAAGCUCUGCAAAGACCAACCGAUGUUGAAGCCAGAAGCAUCAUUAGAGUUCAGCUGGUAUAGGGGUCUGUGGUCAGUCCUUUAUUUGGCAAGCACAAACAUGUCAUUUGAGUGUUUUUACACAGGGCAUUGUUCUCUAGUUUGCCAAAGAUCCUACUACACCUUUUAAAAAUUUUACCUGGUGCUUUACACAUUUUCAUUGUGUGUCUGGUCCCUGGAGAAAUGUAAGAUGAUUUCUCUAGACAUCUUCCAGAAUCCUCAGUGAAAAGAUGGAGAAGCUUCCCUCCAGAGAGGUCAAGAGGCUCAUUAAAAGUCACACAGCUGGUGAGUAUUAUCAUUACAAACAGGCUGUACUUCUAAUCAUCUCUUAUCCUUUCCUAAUGGUUCAGCGUUUGGGCCCUUUUCCAUUUUGGAGAUCCUUCAUUUAUUAUCCAGUUGGAGGUCAGAGCAAUUUGAAAAAUGGAUAUUGACUUUUUGGGCCAAUAGUCAGUUCAAAAACUCACUUAGUUGUGCAUUGGUAAGCCUGUGGUAGACAGAAUAAUGGCCCCUGAAGAUGUCCAUAGCUGAAUCCCAGAAACCUGUAAGUAAUUUUGCAAAUGUGAUUAAAUUAAGGAUCUUCAACUGGAAUGAUUAUCCUGAAUUAUCUGGUGAUAUGGUUUGGCUGUGUCUCCACCAAAUCUCAUCUUGAAUUGUAGCUCCCAUAAUCCCCACGUGUUGUGGGAGGGAC